This 1373-nucleotide ribosomal RNA is filed under the name uncultured bacterium. RNAcentral describes it as "bacterial SSU rRNA". It matches the Rfam family "Bacterial small subunit ribosomal RNA", at positions 28 to 1381 of the family's 1533-position model. The record is from RNAcentral.
GAUGAACGCUGGCGGCGUGCCUAAUACAUGCAAGUCGAGCGAACAGAUGAGAAGCUUGCUUCUCUGAUGUUAGCGGCGGACGGGUGAGUAACACGUGGGUAACCUACCUAUAAGACUGGGAUAACUCCGGGAAACCGGGGCUAAUACCGGAUAAUAUUUUGAACCGCAUGGUUCAAUAGUGAAAGACGGUUUCGGCUGUCACUUAUAGAUGGACCCGCGCCGUAUUAGCUAGUUGGUAAGGUAACGGCUUACCAAGGCGACGAUACGUAGCCGACCUGAGAGGGUGAUCGGCCACACUGGAACUGAGACACGGUCCAGACUCCUACGGGAGGCAGCAGUAGGGAAUCUUCCGCAAUGGGCGAAAGCCUGACGGAGCAACGCCGCGUGAGUGAUGAAGGUCUUCGGAUCGUAAAACUCUGUUGUUAGGGAAGAACAAAUUUGUUAGUAACUGAACAAGUCUUGACGGUACCUAACCAGAAAGCCACGGCUAACUACGUGCCAGCAGCCGCGGUAAUACGUAGGUGGCAAGCGUUAUCCGGAAUUAUUGGGCGUAAAGCGCGCGUAGGCGGUUUCUUAAGUCUGAUGUGAAAGCCCACGGCUCAACCGUGGAGGGUCAUUGGAAACUGGGAAACUUGAGUGCAGAAGAGGAGAGUGGAAUUCCAUGUGUAGCGGUGAAAUGCGCAGAGAUAUGGAGGAACACCAGUGGCGAAGGCGGCUCUCUGGUCUGUAACUGACGCUGAUGUGCGAAAGCGUGGGGAUCAAACAGGAUUAGAUACCCUGGUAGUCCACGCCGUAAACGAUGAGUGCUAAGUGUUAGGGGGUUUCCGCCCCUUAGUGCUGCAGCUAACGCAUUAAGCACUCCGCCUGGGGAGUACGACCGCAAGGUUGAAACUCAAAGGAAUUGACGGGGACCCGCACAAGCGGUGGAGCACGUGGUUUAAUUCGAAGCAACGCGAAGAACCUUACCAAAUCUUGACAUCCUUUGACCGCUCUAGAGAUAGAGUCUUCCCCUUCGGGGGACAAAGUGACAGGUGGUGCAUGGUUGUCGUCAGCUCGUGUCGUGAGAUGUUGGGUUAAGUCCCGCAACGAGCGCAACCCUUAAGCUUAGUUGCCAUCAUUAAGUUGGGCACUCUAGGUUGACUGCCGGUGACAAACCGGAGGAAGGUGGGGAUGACGUCAAAUCAUCAUGCCCCUUAUGAUUUGGGCUACACACGUGCUACAAUGGAUAAUACAAAGGGCAGCGAAUCCGCGAGGCCAAGCAAAUCCCAUAAAAUUAUUCUCAGUUCGGAUUGUAGUCUGCAACUCGACUACAUGAAGCUGGAAUCGCUAGUAAUCGUAGAUCAGCAUGCUACGGUGAAUACGUUCCCGGGUCU